This 329-nucleotide unclassified non-coding RNA is filed under the name plant metagenome. RNAcentral describes it as "partial contains 5.8S ribosomal RNA, internal transcribed spacer 2, and large subunit ribosomal RNA". The stretch from base 1 to 105 matches the Rfam family "5.8S ribosomal RNA", at positions 50 to 154 of the family's 154-position model. The record is from RNAcentral.
GAAAUGCGAUAAGUAAUGUGAAUUGCAGAAUUCCGUGAAUCAUCGAAUCUUUGAACGCACAUUGCGCCCUCUGGUAUUCCGGGGGGCAUGCCUGUCCGAGCGUCAUUGCGAACCCCUCAAGCACGGCUUGUGUGAUGGGCCCUCCCGCGUCUUGGUCGUCAAGACGGGCCCGAAAUGCAGUGGCGGCUUCGCGGUUAUCCGAUCAGCCAGAGCGUAUGGGGACUUUCUCUCUGUCACACGCCCACGGCGCGGACCGACGCCUGUCGACCUUUAUUCAUCUUUUUCUCGGUUGACCUCGGAUCAGGUAGGGAUACCCGCUGAACUUAAGC